This 30-nucleotide non-coding RNA is filed under the name Mus musculus (house mouse). The record is from RNAcentral. Lineage: Eukaryota; Metazoa; Chordata; Mammalia; Rodentia; Muridae.
UGAAAACAUGAAUGGGAAUGAAUUGAAUUC